RNAcentral lists this ribosomal RNA (604 nucleotides) under uncultured fungus. Its description in RNAcentral is "eukaryotic LSU rRNA". It matches the Rfam family "Eukaryotic large subunit ribosomal RNA", at positions 23 to 641 of the family's 3401-position model. Lineage: Eukaryota; Fungi. The record is from RNAcentral.
ACCCGCUGAACUUAAGCAUAUCAAUAAGCGGAGGAAAAGAAACCAACAGGGAUUGCCCUAGUAACGGCGAGUGAAGCGGCAACAGCUCAAAUUUGAAAUCUGGCCUCUUUUGGGGUCCGAGUUGUAAUUUGCAGAGGGCGCUUUGGCGUUGGCAGCGGUCCAAGUUCCUUGGAACAGGACGUCACAGAGGGUGAGAAUCCCGUACGUGGUCGCUGGCCUUCGCCGUGUAAAGCCCCUUCGACGAGUCGAGUUGUUUGGGAAUGCAGCUCUAAAUGGGAGGUAAAUUUCUUCUAAAGCUAAAUACUGGCCAGAGACCGAUAGCGCACAAGUAGAGUGAUCGAAAGAUGAAAAGCACUUUGGAAAGAGAGUCAAACAGCACGUGAAAUUGUUGAAAGGGAAGCGCUUGCAGCCAGACUUGCCUGUAGUUGCUCAUCCGGGCUUCUGCCCGGUGCACUCUUCUAUAGGCAGGCCAGCAUCAGUUUGGGCGGUUAGAUAAAGGUCUCUGUCACGUACCUCUCUUCGGGGAGGACUUAUAGGGGAGGCGACAUGUAACCAGCCCAGAUUGAGGUCCGCGCAUUUGCUAGGAUGCUGGCGUAAUGGCUGU